Molecule: ribosomal RNA, 789 nt
Filed under: Microbacteriaceae bacterium 581
Lineage: Bacteria; Bacillati; Actinomycetota; Actinomycetes; Micrococcales; Microbacteriaceae
Description: bacterial SSU rRNA
Rfam family: Bacterial small subunit ribosomal RNA
Source: RNAcentral
AGCUUGCUGGGUGGAUUAGUGGCGAACGGGUGAGUAACACGUGAGCAAUCUGCCCUUGACUCUGGGAUAAGCGCUGGAAACGGCGUCUAAUACCGGAUACGAACUUCAGCCGCAUGGCUAGGGGUUGGAAAGAUUUUUUGGUUGAGGAUGAGCUCGCGGCCUAUCAGCUUGUUGGUGAGGUAAUGGCUCACCAAGGCGACGACGGGUAGCCGGCCUGAGAGGGUGACCGGCCACACUGGGACUGAGACACGGCCCAGACUCCUACGGGAGGCAGCAGUGGGGAAUAUUGCACAAUGGGCGCAAGCCUGAUGCAGCAACGCCGCGUGAGGGACGACGGCCUUCGGGUUGUAAACCUCUUUUAGCAGGGAAGAAGCGAAAGUGACGGUACCUGCAGAAAAAGCACCGGCUAACUACGUGCCAGCAGCCGCGGUAAUACGUAGGGUGCAAGCGUUGUCCGGAAUUAUUGGGCGUAAAGAGCUCGUAGGCGGUUUGUCGCGUCUGCUGUGAAAUCCCGAGGCUCAACCUCGGGCCUGCAGUGGGUACGGGCAGACUAGAGUGCGGUAGGGGAGAUUGGAAUUCCUGGUGUAGCGGUGGAAUGCGCAGAUAUCAGGAGGAACACCGAUGGCGAAGGCAGAUCUCUGGGCCGUAACUGACGCUGAGGAGCGAAAGCGUGGGGAGCGAACAGGAUUAGAUACCCUGGUAGUCCACGCCGUAAACGUUGGGAACUAGAUGUGGGGACCAUUCCACGGUCUCCGUGUCGCAGCUAACGCAUUAAGUUCCCCGCCUGGG